UCCGAUGCACUAAUUGUACA
Molecule: non-coding RNA, 20 nt
Filed under: Arabidopsis thaliana (thale cress)
Lineage: Eukaryota; Viridiplantae; Streptophyta; Magnoliopsida; Brassicales; Brassicaceae
Source: RNAcentral